AUACUAGGACAAUUGCACAGAAAUGGAGACUUCAAUUUUCACCCAAAAUGCAGGAAACUAAACUGUACACAUGUCUGCUUUGCUGAUGACUUACUGAUGUUUUGUAGAGCUGACCUGGUGUCUGUCCAAAUCUUAAAGGAAGCUUUCCUCAAGUUCUCCAAUGCCUCAGGUCUGCAAGCUAAUCUGUCAAAAAGUGCAUUGUAUAUAGCUGGAGUAAAUCAGGAUGCCAAGGCACAGAUUCUGGAAGCAUUGGGAUUCACUGAAGGCAAAUUUCCCUUCAGGUAUCUGGGGAUUCCCCUUGACUCCAAAAAACUGUCUGUUGGCCACUACUUACCAAUAAUUGAGAAGAUCACAGCUAAAGUAACAUGCUGGUCUGCCAAGCUGCUUUCCUAUGGUGGAAGAUGUCAACUGAUUAAAUCUGUCAUAUUUGGCAUUCAAACCUACUGGGCUCAAGUGUUCAUCCUGCCUAAGAAAGUAUUGAAAGCCAUUGAAACUAUAUGCAGAACCUUUCUUUAGACUGGGAGUGUAAAGCUGUCCAGAAAGACCUUAGUGGCAUGGGACAGUGUUUGUAGACCUAUCUCUGCUGAUGGACUAAAUAUUAUAGAUAUGACAGUAUGGAAUAAGGCAGCAAUCAGCAAGCACCUCUGGAACUUGGCUAAAAAGAAGGACUGCUUGUGGAUUAGAUGGGUGCACAGCUACUACAUCAAGCAGAGGGACAUAGAAACAAUGCCCUUACCUAAGGCAGCUUCUUGGGUUGUAAGGAAGAUACUGGACAGAAGGGAUGACCUAAUGGGAACUCAACUGAUACAAGGUAGCAUGUUCGGUAGAUUGCAAGGCUUCUGCAGACUGGAUCAGUUCCUUAUCCAGAAAUUAUACUUGGCAUUGAUUCCUACUUACAGGAAGGUUGCUUGGAAGAAUCUGGUUUUACUUGCUCAUGCUCAACCAAGAUAUAGGUUUACUGUCUGCUGAUGUUUUGUAGAGCUGACCUGGUGUUUGUCCAAAUCUUAAAGGAAGCUUCCCUCAAGUUCUCCAAUGCAUCAGGUCUGCAAGCUAACCUGUCAAAAAGUGCAUUGUAUAUAGCUGGAGUAAAUCAGGAUGCCAAGGCACAGAUUCUGGAAGCAUUGGGAUUCACUGAAGGCAAAUUUCCCUUCAGGUAUCUGGGGAUUCCCCUUGACUCCAAAAAUUGUCUGUUGGCCACUACUUACAAAUAAUUGAGAAGAUCACAGCUAAAGUAACAUGCUGGUCUGCCAAGCUGCUUUCCUAUGCUGGAAGAUGUCAACUGAUUAAAUCUGUCAUAUUUGGCAUUCAAACCUACUGGGCUCAAGUGUUCAUCCUGCCUAAGAAAGUAUUGAAAGCCAUUGAAACUAUAUGCAGAACCUUUCUUUGGACUAGGAGUGUAAAGCUGUCUAGAAAGGCCUUAGAGGCAUGGGACAGUGUUUGUAGACCUAUCUCUGCUGGUGGAUAUGACAAUAUGGAAUAAGGCAGCAAUCAGCAAGCACCUCUGGAACUUGGCUAAAAAGAAGGACUGCUUGUGGAUUAGAUGGGUGCACUGCUACUACAUCAAGCAGA
This 1569-nucleotide long non-coding RNA is filed under the name Nicotiana benthamiana. Its description in RNAcentral is "long non-coding RNA (NBEN_LNC016007)". The record is from RNAcentral. Lineage: Eukaryota; Viridiplantae; Streptophyta; Magnoliopsida; Solanales; Solanaceae.